GACGAACGCUGGCGGCGUGCUUAACACAUGCAAGUCGAACGGAAAGGCCCUGCUUUUGUGGGGUGCUCGAGUGGCGAACGGGUGAGUAACACGUGAGUAACCUGCCCUUGACUUUGGGAUAACUUCAGGAAACUGGGGCUAAUACCGGAUAGGAGCUCCUGCUGCAUGGUGGGGGUUGGAAAGUUUCGGCGGUUGGGGAUGGACUCGCGGCUUAUCAGCUUGUUGGUGGGGUAGUGGCUUACCAAGGCUUUGACGGGUAGCCGGCCUGAGAGGGUGACCGGCCACAUUGGGACUGAGAUACGGCCCGGACUACUACGGGAGGCAGCAGUGGGGAAUAUUGCACAAUGGGCGGAAGCCUGAUGCAGCAACGCCGCGUGCGGGAUGACGGCCUUCGGGUUGUAAACCGCUUUCGCCUGUGACGAAGCGUGAGUGACGGUAAUGGGUAAAGAAGCACCGGCUAACUACGUG
This 468-nucleotide ribosomal RNA is filed under the name uncultured bacterium. Its description in RNAcentral is "partial 16S ribosomal RNA". It matches the Rfam family "Bacterial small subunit ribosomal RNA", at positions 28 to 507 of the family's 1533-position model. The record is from RNAcentral.